ACUACUCCAGUGCCCUAAUAAGAAUUGCAAAAUUUGCAAAGUCUCAACAUGAUUAAUUAAAUAUGUUUCAUUUAAUAUGAAUCAUAUAGUGCCUUUUUUAAUCAACUAGUAUGAUAUAUAUCAAAAUUGCUUUGGGGACUAAAUAAGCAAUUGCAAUAACAUUAAAGUCUCUACGAAAGAACAACAAAUUUCAGUUACAAAAAAAAAAGAACAACAAAUUGGUAUUCGGAUAGGACUUAUUCUUAGGUCCACCCCCUAGGGUGAACCUCUAGGUUCACCAACCAAUAGGAUUAUUUUAUUUUAUAUUCGAUAUCUUUUAAAAAAGGAAAUAAAAUAUUGUCAAAUUAUAUUAUGUUUUUAAAAUUUAAAAGUAAAAAAAAAAUAGUAAUAAUUACAAAAAAAAUAUUUUACGUCGUCAGCAUAACAUUAAACCCUAAACCCUAAAUUCUAAUCCCUAAACCCUUAAUCCUAAACCCUAAACCCUUG
RNAcentral lists this long non-coding RNA (486 nucleotides) under Brassica rapa (field mustard). Its description in RNAcentral is "long non-coding RNA (BRAP_LNC004066)". The record is from RNAcentral. Lineage: Eukaryota; Viridiplantae; Streptophyta; Magnoliopsida; Brassicales; Brassicaceae.